AAUAAAGUGCCUGAAAAAGGAUUAUUCUGAUAGGAUAAAUUAUGUAAUUAUUUUACCUUUAUUA
Molecule: transfer RNA, 64 nt
Filed under: Endoxyla cinereus
Lineage: Eukaryota; Metazoa; Arthropoda; Insecta; Lepidoptera; Cossidae
Description: tRNA-Ile
Source: RNAcentral